AAAAAGACUUGUUUUGAAUGAACGAUAUUUUACUACUGUUGUUUACAAUAAGAAAAAACGCACAACAAUUUUUCAAACGUUAGUUUAUGUUAAUAAGAAAGCAACGAAGUAAGACUAGGAGAAGACCGCCCGAAAUGAUUACAGAAAUAAACUACUUUUAAAAGUUGCUUCGUAAAAUCUGAGAAGCGUGACAGUUUCAAGUCUGUCUUGUAUUGAAAUAUUUCCCCGAAAUCAAGAUGCGCAAGCUGCAGAAUCACUUAAAGUGGCUCCGGUGUUUGAAUAUAAAGUUGGACACGAGAACACUGAGCUACAAAUACCAAGAGUUUGAAGCACAGUUAACUAAGCAUCUUGAAUAGCAGAUGUCGAUACCGGCUGUCUACCCUAAUUACAUUAACCUCGCUCUUCGUUAUAGUUUCAUAGUUGGAAAAUGAUGUUUGUACAAGAAUCUUGGCUUACUCUUUGUCUUAGAAAUCUGUUUUAUGAACGCAAAUGCUAGAUUUUUUUAAUGCAAUGAGAAAGA
This is a long non-coding RNA of Manduca sexta (tobacco hornworm), 520 nucleotides long. RefSeq lists it as uncharacterized. Lineage: Eukaryota; Metazoa; Arthropoda; Insecta; Lepidoptera; Sphingidae. The record is from RefSeq and is a predicted model, not a curated record. The transcript has 2 exons.